ACGUGUUCUCCGACGGCAAAGGUGCGCUCGGUCACCCUGGUGGCCAAGCGCCCUGAGCUGCUCGAACCUUUUCAAACCCACCGUGCACUUUGGUCGGCAGAGGGGCUUUGCGGCCCUGAGCCGGAUCUCACAUACUCUUAACUGCGGAAAGUCUACGGCGAGCCUUUUGUGCCGCCCUAAUCUUUGA
RNAcentral lists this unclassified non-coding RNA (187 nucleotides) under uncultured fungus. RNAcentral's name for it is "sequence contains ITS1, 5.8S rRNA gene". The record is from RNAcentral. Lineage: Eukaryota; Fungi.